RNAcentral lists this ribosomal RNA (488 nucleotides) under uncultured Pseudomonadota bacterium. Its description in RNAcentral is "bacterial SSU rRNA". It matches the Rfam family "Bacterial small subunit ribosomal RNA", at positions 29 to 505 of the family's 1533-position model. Lineage: Bacteria; Pseudomonadati; Pseudomonadota. The record is from RNAcentral.
AACGAACGCUAGCGGCGUGCUUAACACAUGCAAGUCGAACGAGAAAGUUCUUCGGAACGAGUAGAGUGGCGCACGGGUGAGUAACACGUAGGUAAUCUACCUUGUAGUGGAGAAUAACCAUUGGAAACGAUGGCUAAUGCUGCAUGACAUCUCUUUACAUAAGUAAAGAGGAAAAAGGGGGCUUCGGCUCUCGCUAUGAGAUGAGCCUGCGUCCAAUUAGCUUGUUGGUGGGGUAAAGGCCUACCAAGGCGACGAUUGGUAGCUGGUCUGAGAGGAUGACCAGCCACACUGGAACUGACACACGGUCCAGACUCCUACGGGAGGCAGCAGUGGGGAAUAUUGCGCAAUGGGGGAAACCCUGACGCAGCGACGCCGCGUGUACGAUGAAGGCCUUCGGGUUGUAAAGUACUGUCAGCAGGGAAUAAGAUGUAUCAAUUAAUACCUGGUAUGUUUGAAGGUACCUGCAGAGGAAGCACCGGCUAAAUCUG